AUGCUAGCAAUCCUUAAUAGCCUAGCUGAAUACAUUAAUGAAUUAAAUCAAGGCAUCCCCAAAGCGCCACCAAAGGAGAUGCAAAAAGAAAAGACUCUAUAUAUAAUAUUUGAUGGAAAUAAGCCAGGAAUAUAUAUGAGCUAUGAAGAUAUUGUAAAAGAGAAAUUUGAGGCAAGACGGAAGAAAGAAGACUUAACAUGGAAAAAAUAUGAUGAUUACAAUGAGGCCCUAAAAUGGGCAAGAGAACUAAUUGGGCAAGAUUAUUAUAUAGACCCAAAAGCCAAAGAAUAUAUCGAAAGAUGA
Molecule: ribosomal RNA, 303 nt
Filed under: Triticum aestivum (bread wheat)
Lineage: Eukaryota; Viridiplantae; Streptophyta; Magnoliopsida; Poales; Poaceae
Description: partial small subunit ribosomal RNA
Source: RNAcentral